This 298-nucleotide ribosomal RNA is filed under the name uncultured bacterium. RNAcentral describes it as "partial 16S ribosomal RNA". It matches the Rfam family "Bacterial small subunit ribosomal RNA", at positions 28 to 334 of the family's 1533-position model. The record is from RNAcentral.
GAUGAACGCUGACAGAAUGCUUAACACAUGCAAGUCGACUCGAGUCUUCGGACUUGGGUGGCGCACGGGUGAGUAACGCGUAAAGAACUUGCCUCUUAGACCGGGACAACAUUUGGAAACGGAUGCUAAUACCGCAUAAGACCACAGCUCCGCAUGGAGCAGGGGUCAAAGGAUUUAUUCGCUUGAAGAUGAGCUCGCGUCCGAUUAGAUAGUUGGUGAGGUAACGGCCCACCAAGUCGACGAUCGGUAGCCGGACUGAGAGGUUGAACGGCCACAUUGGGACUGAGACACGGCCCAG